UACGUAGGGUGCAGGCGUUAAUCGGAAUUACUGGGCGUAAAGCGUGCGCAGGCGGUUUGUUAAGACAGGUGUGAAAUCCCCGGGCUCAACCUGGGAACUGCGCUUGUAACUGGCAAGCUUGAGUGUGGCAGAGGGGGGUGGAAUUCCACGUGUAGCAGUGAAAUGCGUAGAGAUGUGGAGGAACACCGAUGGCGAAGGCAGCCCCCUGGGCUAACACUGACGCUCAUGCACGAAAGCGUGGGGAGCAAACAGG
This 253-nucleotide ribosomal RNA is filed under the name uncultured bacterium. RNAcentral's name for it is "partial 16S ribosomal RNA". It matches the Rfam family "Bacterial small subunit ribosomal RNA", at positions 524 to 776 of the family's 1533-position model. The record is from RNAcentral.